UUGCCAUCAUUCAGUUGGGCACUCUAGAGAGACUGCCGAGGACAACUCGGAGGAAGGUGGGGAUGACGUCAAAUCAUCAUGCCCCUUAUGUCCUGGGCUACACACGUGCUACAAUGGCUGGUACAAAGAGACGCAAGACCGCGAGGUGGAGCAAAUCUCAAAAACCAGUCCCAGUUCGGAUUGCAGGCUGCAACUCGCCUGCAUGAAGUUGGAGUUGCUAGUAAUCGCAGAUCAGAAUGCUGCGGUGAAUGCGUUCCCGGGUCUU
RNAcentral lists this ribosomal RNA (265 nucleotides) under uncultured Eubacteriales bacterium. RNAcentral describes it as "uncultured Clostridiales bacterium partial 16S ribosomal RNA". It matches the Rfam family "Bacterial small subunit ribosomal RNA", at positions 1115 to 1382 of the family's 1533-position model. Lineage: Bacteria; Bacillati; Bacillota; Clostridia; Eubacteriales. The record is from RNAcentral.